UGAAAGAUAAGCUAAUUAAAGCUGGUGUAUUCAUAUUUCAUUUAUAGAUUUUUCUUCUUUCUU
Molecule: transfer RNA, 63 nt
Filed under: Epanerchodus koreanus
Lineage: Eukaryota; Metazoa; Arthropoda; Diplopoda; Polydesmida; Polydesmidae
Description: tRNA-Met
Source: RNAcentral